UAUAUAUAUAUAUAUAUAUAUUAAACACAAGUCUUUUCCUCUCUUAUCACUAAUUCAUCAAAGAUCUGUCCUGCUCCGAAACGGAAAGAAAGGGGGAAAAUGAUGAUGCUGAUGAGAUAUUUUGCAUUAAAAGCACUGUCCUUUGUUGCUAAUUUGAUGGGGUUUGAUGUCUACGAUAGGAGCGGAGUGGGAGUGGGUGGUGCGAUAACGAGCUCAUUCAACAACAAGGGUAACGGAACCCAGAUCUUCCGCAAUGCCACAAUCAUAAUUACUAGAGGAUGUUGCAUGCUUCAUGAUGAUGACGGUGAUGGUAUUGGUAUUAGUAUAUAUAUGUGUGUUUCCCACUUUUCUAUUUCUUGCUCGGAGCCCUUCCACUUGUUGCCCUACUGGUCAUCCCAACCAUAGAUCAACAAACGCCUUCAAGCGGAAUCAUCACCGUUCGAUCGCCAACAUCUCUGUCUUUGUCCUGCACCAGAUUCAAUUCUGGUCACCUCUAAUUGUUUUCUACCGGCUACAAUAUUCUAAUCAAAUCUUCACAACCGAUGCUGUUCCUGCAAAGACUAAGCAUUCAACUCUAUGAACGAACUAUUAAUGUUCACAAGAUUUGAACAACAGACAAUUUAUUCAAAGGACACAAGCUGGGACUAUUUGUGCCAAAUUGACAAAUCAUUGUUCUUUAGGAUUUGGCCUCUAAGUUUCUAGUUAAAUACAGGUUCAAAAGAAGUUAGUCCCCAUUUGAUUGCUAUCUUUGAGGAGUUACAAAAGGCUCUCUCCACAGAUUUACAGUUGUUUUGUGCCGAUCAAAGUUUGAUCAGUAAUUAAGAAUUCACUCUUUAAUGCUAGUGCUCUCUUUAUUGAAUCAAAGAAUUCACUAAAAGGCGAACUUUUGGACACAGUAUGGUGAGAAACUCAUUCAACAACGAGGGAAAUGGAAUACAAGACUUCAGCAAUGCAACAAUAAUCAUGACCAAAGGGUGUAGCUGUACCAAGGUGGAUCACCUGCUCCUGUGCUCUCUCUACAGCAAAAAAAUCAAAAGCAAAAACCGAGAGAGAACGAAGAAAUUAAUAAAGAAAAGAUGGAGGAAAGAGACUGUAGAGAUCCAAGUCCGUAGCUGUACCUCAACUUAUGCGGGACUCAAGACUCGUCAAACUGAUUUGUUAAACAAAUUCUAGGUUUAUCCUAUUAUUUAUUUAUUAUUUUGUUUAACAUUCAAUCUUCAAAAUCGCAUUGUUAACUGUUAAGCCAAUAGGAUUGAAGGAAGCUUUUGGAAUCUUUCAUGUUUGACUACUUUUGCUCAACUCGAUAAUCUGACCAACCUUUGGUUUCAGCUUCAUUUUAAUAUUUGAGUUGUGUUAUUCAUAUGAUAACCAAUACAAUUAUUUAUUCGAUAUAUAUUGCAUUUUAUAUAUCUAUCUUUUUUCAUUAGAUAUUUUAUUACCCUGUUUAUUGUAUUU
Molecule: long non-coding RNA, 1455 nt
Organism: Cajanus cajan (pigeon pea)
Lineage: Eukaryota; Viridiplantae; Streptophyta; Magnoliopsida; Fabales; Fabaceae
Source: RefSeq, a predicted model, not a curated record